RNAcentral lists this ribosomal RNA (479 nucleotides) under uncultured bacterium. Its description in RNAcentral is "bacterial SSU rRNA". It matches the Rfam family "Bacterial small subunit ribosomal RNA", at positions 96 to 562 of the family's 1533-position model. The record is from RNAcentral.
UGGCGAACGGGUGAGUAACACGUGGGGAACCUGCCCAUGAGAGGGGGAUAACAUUCGGAAACGGAUGCUAAUACCGCAUAGCUUCAAUGACCGCCUGGUCAUUGAACGAAAGACGGCUUUGCUGUCGCUCAUGGAUGGCCCCGCGGCGUAUUAGUUGGUUGGUGAGGUAACGGCUCACCAAGGCUUUGAUACGUAGCCGACCUGAGAGGGUGAUCGGCCACACUGGGACUGAGACACGGCCCAGACUCCUACGGGAGGCAGCAGUAGGGAAUCUUCCACAAUGGGUGCAAACCUGAUGGAGCAAUGCCGCGUGAAUGAAGAAGGUCUUCGGAUCGUAAAGUUCUGUUAUUAGAGAAGAACAAAGCAAGAAGUAACUGUCUUGCUUUUGACGGUACCUAACCAGAAAGUCACGGCUAACUACGUGCCAGCAGCCGCGGUAAUACGUAGGUGACAAGCGUUGUCCGGAAUUAUUGGGCGUA